UACAGGGGGUGCAAACGUUGCUCGGAAUUAUUGGGCGUAAAGCGCGCGUAGGCGGUGACUCAAGUCGGAUGUGAAAGCCCUUGGCUUAACCGAGGAAGUGCAUCCGAAACUGAGUCGCUAGAGUACGAUAGAGGGUCGCGGAAUUCCCGGUGUAGAGGUGAAAUUCGUAGAUAUCGGGAGGAACACCGGUGGCGAAGGCGGCGACCUGGGUCGAUACUGACGCUGAGGCGCGAAAGCGUGGGGGAGCAAACAGG
RNAcentral lists this ribosomal RNA (254 nucleotides) under uncultured bacterium. RNAcentral's name for it is "partial 16S ribosomal RNA". It matches the Rfam family "Bacterial small subunit ribosomal RNA", at positions 524 to 776 of the family's 1533-position model. The record is from RNAcentral.